Long non-coding RNA from Megalobrama amblycephala (Wuchang bream), 1887 nucleotides. RefSeq lists it as uncharacterized. The record is from RefSeq and is a predicted model, not a curated record. The transcript has 4 exons. Lineage: Eukaryota; Metazoa; Chordata; Actinopteri; Cypriniformes; Xenocyprididae.
AUAACAAAGGUUAACUUCUCUAGUCCAUUUGGUUCUCAUAGGUUUGUAAUGCAGUAUAUAAUACAAAAAGAGUUUUUGCCGGAGUUAUUUUUAUUUAUAUUUAUAUUGUGCCUCGUGAAGACCUUUCUGGUCAAAACGUUGCGCUUGGUUGCAGUAAAAUUUUCUAGAGCUUUAAAUGACAUCUACCUUUUUGAUUUUAUAUGGACAAACAUUUAUUUUGUCCAUCUAAAUACACUCAUGCAGAAAAACAGGCUUGGUUUGGAUCUAAACAACCUUGUUUUGUAGAGGUCAGUGCAGCUGGUAGCCCUUAUGAGACAUAAGGACAAACUUAAUUGUUCAUCAUGUUCUGUUGAUUGUCCUAACUGCCAUUUUAGAGGUACUCAUCUUUUAUGGUGCCUACUGACCUAAUGCAUAAACAUUACUACUAGAAGCGCACUAGCCAGAUGGGAUUUAAUCUUUGUCAGCUGAAGAUCCGGAUGAAAUAUACCAAGCAUAUUCUCCCACCAUUCCUGAUUUCUAAAACGCACUAACAACAUGCGGCGUGGUCUUGCGGUUAUCAGAGCAGACACGAAAGAUGCUGCUCUCCGUAUGUUUUUCUGUUGUCUAAACUUGUAAAAGUGUCUCUUGUUAAAGUGUCUAAACCCUUAAAAAACAGUAAGCUUGUUUUUGUUCAGCAAAAUAGAUACAAAACACUAACAUAUGCAUAGCUCACCAGGUUGCUUAGCGACAUGCAAUUGAGUUAGACUAGAAGAAAACGCAGCACGAGAUGAGUGGCUAUGACUUAGCUUGAUUUUAAGCUGUUAAUGUCCACUAAGAAGACUCCUUCAGACCAAAUGCAAACUCAUUAAACAUGCUCAACACUAUCCUUACAAGUGUGUCCAAAGGAUAUCAUUAGUCUCUCUGGACUUUUACCAGAUUGUGAGUGACAAUCAUAUAGAUAAAGGAAGAUAAGGUAAAUUAGAAAAGCUAUCAUUGUCAAUUCACACUGCUAAGUGUUAAAGAUAAGCGUUACAGAAAAAAGUGUGGCUGGUGAAGACAGAACUGAGUUCGGUUGUGCAGUGUGGACAUCAUGGUGUGCUGAAUUUGAGCUACCUUGUAUUAUUGAGUGAUUAGAGUUACACACUGCCCCCUUGUGGCACUAAGUAAAACUACUUGCUUCAACAGAAGCGAUUUCUGUUUCCAAACGCUGUGGCCUAUUUGGUCUUCCUCCUUAUAAGCAUUAAGAUCAUAUUUUCAAGGAAGUGAAAAAAGUUCUUCAUAUUACAAUAACACUGAUCAAUCAUUUGCACUUAUAUUCAAACUAACUAAUCCAAGUCUAAACUCUGUCUAAAAAACUGUCGUACUAUUUAGCACAUUACUGUCAUGCUUUUUACAGCCAGUAAUUCAAUAAUAAUUUAUCUGCCUCAGCCACUAGAUGGAGCACCAUCUCUUUUUCAGCAUCUCACUCAUGUUCUUUACUCAAGUUGCCCUUCCAGUUUUGAUGCGAGUGCUGAAUUGUUGGUAACUUGUGUCUUGGCCUGUUUUUUGCAAUUUACAAAGAUUGUAAAGCAUUUGCUCAUCACCACGAGUUCGAAAGGACGCUGUGAUAGCUGUCUGGCCAAACAUGAGUCAUCAGGACCUGUGAAUACAUCUUCAGAAAAAAGUGUUCCAUCUCUCAGAACAUGUCUAUUUCGUCACUUAAUCACAACACUUGAUUCAAGUCCAGACUCCAGAGGUUUCAUGGACAGGUUCAUGGAAGGCACGCUACUGGUCACCACAGAGAGGUGUAGAGAGGUUAGAGCGGUCAGAGCUUGUGCUAUGUUUAGAAGUGGGGCUACUGGGGACCUGAUAGGGGUCUGGAAGAGGACGCCCCUCCACCUCUGCAAGCAUACAUUCUUGAUACAGGUA